Scophthalmus maximus (turbot) is the source of this 1121-nucleotide RNA transcript. It is a transcript of the gene named FKBP prolyl isomerase 2, with no coding region annotated. Lineage: Eukaryota; Metazoa; Chordata; Actinopteri; Pleuronectiformes; Scophthalmidae. The transcript has 2 exons. The record is from RefSeq and is a predicted model, not a curated record.
UCGCACGUACUUCCGCUUUCACUAACAGAUCCCCCUCCCCAGCUCGAACUCGUUCCUCUGAUUCAUCCCUCCACAGUUUCGUCUCCGCGCGUCGUCGAGCUCCGGCCUCCAAACUUUAAAACAACAACAACAACCCGUGAACACGUGGUGGUGGUGGUGCUGCUGAAGUAGUUCGACAUGCGGGUGUUGCUGCUGUUCGCGGUGGCGGUGCUCAGCCUGAGCCCGGCGGCGGUGAGCGGCGCCGACAAGAAGAAGCUGCAGAUCGGCAUCAAGAAGCGCGUGGACCACUGCCCCGUCAAGUCGCGCAAGGGCGACGUGCUCAACAUGCACUACACGGGCCGCCUGGAGGACGGCACCGAGUUCGACAGCAGCAUCCCCCGCGACAGGCCCUUCACCUUCACGCUGGGCACCGGGCAGGUGAUCAAGGGCUGGGACCAGGGCCUGCUGGGCAUGUGCGAGGGCGAGAAGAGGAAGCUCGUCAUCCCCGCCGAGCUCGGCUACGGGGACCGGGGCGCGCCGCCGAAGAUCCCCGGCGGAGCGACGCUCAUCUUCGAGGUGGAGCUGCUCAGCAUCGAGCGGAGGUCCGAGCUGUGAUGGAGGAGGAGGAAGGAGGGAAAUCUCGACACGUACGUUUUGGCAACAUGUAGAAAAGUUCCAGGAGGUGCUGUUGCGACGUGAUCAUCUGACCCCCUGAUGAAGACCACAAGGCAAACCUGAGAGCAGAGUUGGCACCUCACCUCACCCCUCCCCCCAACCUGAGCCACUGUCCUCUUUUUCAGCGGCUCCACUAAUUAUGCUCUGAUUUAUCGGAAUGAUGGGAAUGAAGUUACUGUGACACGAGAGCCGACUGUGUCCUCGGCAAUCAUUAUUGGAACUGACAGUUGGCGGUCAAGGCCACGGUCGAAUGAUAAUAACACCAUACCCUGCUGUUUCAUCUGACUUAUCUUUUUUUAAUUUUCUGGGAUUUAUAAAUGGUUUCCUUUGUUAUUCAUACAUUCUUACUUUCAAAAUGAUUUAGGUCGUUGAUUUUGGACUUUAGGCCAGGGAAGGAUCAGGAUAAAUGUUUUGUUUUUCCGUCACAAUAUUUGAGUUCUUCUAAUAAAGUGAUGACCUUCCGAGAA